RNAcentral lists this unclassified non-coding RNA (337 nucleotides) under soil metagenome. RNAcentral's name for it is "partial contains 5.8S ribosomal RNA, internal transcribed spacer 2, and large subunit ribosomal RNA". The stretch from base 1 to 120 matches the Rfam family "5.8S ribosomal RNA", at positions 35 to 154 of the family's 154-position model. The record is from RNAcentral.
GAUGAAGAACGCAGCGAAAUGCGAUAAGUAAUGUGAAUUGCAGAAUUCAGUGAAUCAUCGAAUCUUUGAACGCACAUUGCGCCCGCCAGUAUUCUGGCGGGCAUGUCUGUUCGAGCGUCAUUUCAACCAUCAAGCCCCCGGGCUUGUGUUGGGGACCUGCGGCUGCCGCAGGCCCUGAAAAGCAGUGGCGGGCUCGCUGUCACACCGAGCGUAGUAGAUUUUAUCUCGCUCUGGGCGUGCUGCGGGUUCCGGCCGUUAAACCACCCUUUUAACCCAAGGUUGACCUCGGAUCAGGUAGGAAGACCCGCUGAACUUAAGCAUAUCAAUAAGCGGAGGA